UCCUUCAGAUAGGCAAUGAGAUCUGCACGCUCCUGUGGCUUCUUCAAUCCAGGGAAGACCAUCUUAGUUCCAGGAAUGUACUUCUUAGGAUUAAGCAAGUAAUCAUACAAAGUAUUCUCUCCCCAAAUCACAGCCAUGUUCUUGUUACCUGCAGAGUAGGAAUACCCUGCAGUUGUCCCAGAUUGCCUUCCGAAAAGCCCGUUCAAAUUGGGUCCUUGUUUGUGGCCGGCUCCUUUUUCGACGGUGUGGCACUGAGCGCACUUAGUCUUGAAGAUCUUCUCUCCGGCCUUUUGAUCGCCUGGUGGAGCUUGCUCGAAUGUCGCCAUUUC
RNAcentral lists this unclassified non-coding RNA (329 nucleotides) under Hevea brasiliensis (rubber tree). Lineage: Eukaryota; Viridiplantae; Streptophyta; Magnoliopsida; Malpighiales; Euphorbiaceae. The record is from RNAcentral.